UUGCUUAGUUUUGCACUGUGGCGAAGCAGGGAAAACUCACGGUGAGAGUGUGAUGGGAACUGAUAGGUGAGCUCUGGGACAGUCCCUCAGGUGUUGAGGGUUUAAACCCUUCUUUGGAGCAACCCAGUUCAUUUGCCGUGCAGCACCUGCUGGGCAAAGAAGGCACCAAAUAUUGCUGGCCUGCUCCAUAUUUAAUUAGCUGCCAUAAUAAGCCAGGGAAGGUUUAACUCAGAGUGCAGGACACUGCACAAACAUCACCUUAUAAAUCACCCUUUUCUGCCUGGGAUAAUGUGCAGGAAGGGUUAAGCUGUAAAACAACCUGCCCUUUUCUACAUAAAUUAAAAAACCUGUUGACAUGGUAAUAUUUUGAUUUCUGUUGAAAAGUGUUUAUUUUGGUAGCCUGUACAAAGUUUCAGCUAUUCUAAAACCCUGAGAUUUCACAGCCAAGCUUUCAUGUUCCCAGCAGAGAAGGAGGUGAGAUACUCAAAGAAUCUCUGUUCUUAUUUCAGCACUGCAUUUGCUAGCCAGAUUUUCAAAAGAGCCCAGUUUGCUGACAUAAAUGGGGUUGCUGAUGUGCCGAAGGAGAAGGAAGCGCUGGGGAACAUAUUCCUCCCUGGGUCCAAGUCUCUCCCAUCUUAUCUUUCCUUUCCAUAUGUUUCCUCUGUAAUGAGAGGAAUUACUUAUCAUUAAAGUGAUAUAUAAUUUAAAAAAUAAAGUUAAUGAAUGCUUAAAUUAAUUUACUGACAAAAACAAAUGUCUGUCCUUCAGAUCCUGUAAUUUUAAUUGGAGUGGGCUACAGCUUAAUUAACUUGUAUUGAUUGUAGUCCUGAGUGCAUCUACAGGUGGGUGAACUAUGUUGGGAGAAAUCCUCCUUGAAGAUUUGCUGAUAACAUUCUGAAUAAUUGUCUUGUGAAGAGACAGAGAAGUCUUCACUGUUUUCUCUGCAGAAAGCUUUAAAUAAAAGGUGCAUGAAGAAGACAGAAAAUUGGAGCAAAUAAAGAAGCGGAUGCAACUGGAAACGUUUUGGG
Molecule: long non-coding RNA, 1028 nt
Organism: Corvus hawaiiensis (hawaiian crow)
Lineage: Eukaryota; Metazoa; Chordata; Aves; Passeriformes; Corvidae
Exons: 2
Source: RefSeq, a predicted model, not a curated record